RNAcentral lists this ribosomal RNA (309 nucleotides) under uncultured bacterium. RNAcentral's name for it is "bacterial SSU rRNA". It matches the Rfam family "Bacterial small subunit ribosomal RNA", at positions 775 to 1089 of the family's 1533-position model. The record is from RNAcentral.
GGAUUAGAUACCCCGGUAGUCUUGGCCAUAAACGAUGUUCACUAGGUGUUGGGGCUUUGCCUCGGUGCCGCAGCUAACGCAUUAAGUGAACCGCCUGGGAACUACGAUCGCAAGAUUAAAACUCAAAGGAAUUGGCGGGGGCCCGCACAAGGCAGUGGAGCAUAUGGCUUAAUUCGAUGCAACGCGAAGAACCUUACCAGGGCUUGACAUGGAUCUGCAAGCUCGUGAAAGCGAGUCGCUUUCGAAGGUGAUUCACAGGUGGUGCAUGGCUGUCGUCAGCUCGUGUUGUGAAAUGUUGGGUUAAUCCCG